Long non-coding RNA from Empidonax traillii (willow flycatcher), 391 nucleotides. RefSeq lists it as uncharacterized. The record is from RefSeq and is a predicted model, not a curated record. Lineage: Eukaryota; Metazoa; Chordata; Aves; Passeriformes; Tyrannidae. The transcript has 3 exons.
CUUGCUGGUUUUGGGGUCAUUUCUUCCCAUUUUGGGUGGUUUUGGGGCCCUUUCUUCACGUUUUAUGUGGUUUGGGGGCCGUUUCUUCACAUUUUAUGUAGUUUUGAGGCCAUUUCUUUCUAUUUUAGGUGGUUUGGGGGCCGUUUCUUCACAUUUUGUGUAGUUUUGAGGCCGUUUCUUUACAUUUUGGGUGGUUUUGGGGUCAUUUCUUCCCGUUUUGGGCGGUUUGAGGGCCCUUUUCUCACGCUGUGGGUGUUUUUUGGGGUCCCCCAGAGACGCUGACGUGGAACAAGCCGAGCCUGAGCGGGGUGGCCCCCCUGCCCCGCAGCCUCCACUCGGCCACCACCAUCGGCAACAAGAUGUCCAUGUUUGGGGGGGUGGGUGCCCCUGG